Molecule: long non-coding RNA, 856 nt
Organism: Lagopus leucura (white-tailed ptarmigan)
Lineage: Eukaryota; Metazoa; Chordata; Aves; Galliformes; Phasianidae
Exons: 3
Source: RefSeq, a predicted model, not a curated record
CCUGAGGCCAUCUGAAGGAAGGAUGCUUAGCGUGUAUUCCAACACUGAGUUGAGUUUUCUGCUUUUGAAACGCAUAGAACCACCAAGUCUCCGUCGCUAUCUGUGGAUCCGGCUCGCAGUGCAUCCCGUGCUCGUUCCACCAGCUCGGCGUCUGCUCUGCAGAAUGCUCCAGAAGAGCAAUAUGGGUAACGCAAAAUCUGUAUUGCGAUUCAACAAUCUGUGGAACGCGCGUUUCGGACUGAGUGGAAAAUGCUGAAGCGCAGCUCCGCAGCUGUGCCUGGUGAAGCACAAGAGCUGAGGUGCUGGGCUGUGCUGGCACAGUCAGAGGCACUUUUCUGUGUGUUUGAGAAGCGUGUGCUGGAAGGAACCAUACGAGGUGCUAAAGAACAGUGACUUGGCUCUCCUCUCUGUAAAUUCCAGACCGUUCAAACUCAUCUCCUUUGUUUGCCCAGGCUUUCUGCUGUUACAUUACCGAAGCUGCAAGGACUCAAAUAGCGCAGCUCUCUUUUGAAAUGGGCUGCGUUGAUGUAGCAGCUGAUAGUGGUAGCCAGCGGCUCCCACAAGUGAUGACAAUUCAGCCCACAAACCAGCAGUUAAACGAUGUUGGCUUACCAAGAAGCUGAGACUGUGCUAUUGGGCUGCUACAUGUUCCUUCUCCAUCCAACGUCUGAGGAGGCAAAGCUAGAACUAAAGCGACAUUGAUAUUCUUAGUCACUGGUAGGUUCCCUUGCAAGUGAGUGUGGAGUUGUGUGGCCCUUUUCUUUUGCCUAUUUCCUUUAGCUUCCUUUCCUUACCUCGAGUUCAAAAGCAUGUUCUGAGUUAGUUACCCCGGUGGCAGCCCUGCCUACAUUAAGAA